GGGCCCGUAGCUCAGUCCGGUCCAGAGCGCCGGUCUUAUAAGCCGGCGGUCGGGAGUUCAAAUCUCCCCGGGCCCACCA
Molecule: transfer RNA, 79 nt
Filed under: Candidatus Woesearchaeota archaeon
Lineage: Archaea; Nanobdellati; Candidatus Woesearchaeota
Description: tRNA-Ile
Rfam family: tRNA
About the family: Transfer RNA (tRNA) molecules are approximately 80 nucleotides in length. Their secondary structure includes four short double-helical elements and three loops (D, anti-codon, and T loops). Further hydrogen bonds mediate the characteristic L-shaped molecular structure. tRNAs have two regions of fundamental functional importance: the anti-codon, which is responsible for specific mRNA codon recognition, and the 3' end, to which the tRNAs corresponding amino acid is attached (by aminoacyl-tRNA synthetases). tRNAs cope with the degeneracy of the genetic code in two manners: having more than one tRNA (with a specific anti-codon) for a particular amino acid; and 'wobble' base-pairing, i.e. permitting non-standard base-pairing at the 3rd anti-codon position.
Source: RNAcentral